Non-coding RNA from Steccherinum ochraceum, 95 nucleotides. NCBI's taxonomy places the organism in Eukaryota, Fungi, Basidiomycota, Agaricomycetes, Polyporales, Steccherinaceae. The record is from the annotation of a GenBank genome assembly.
GGGCAUUUGGCACAGUGGUAGCGCGCACGCUUCGCAUCUUGCUUUCGAGCACGGGCGCCUGCGUGAAGUCCAGAGUUCAAUCCUCUGAAUGUCCA